RNA transcript from Passer montanus (Eurasian tree sparrow), 3093 nucleotides. It is a transcript of the gene named 5-phosphohydroxy-L-lysine phospho-lyase, with no coding region annotated. The transcript has 11 exons. Lineage: Eukaryota; Metazoa; Chordata; Aves; Passeriformes; Passeridae. The record is from RefSeq and is a predicted model, not a curated record.
GGCCGAGCCGCGGCCCCGCCCGGCGGCAGCGCCAUCGCGCCCGGGCUGGAAGCGGCGGCAGCGCCCGCCCGCACAGCCCGGUGUAAUUAACAGGAAUUAGCCUUUCUUAAGGAGGGGAUUACGAAACUGCACUGUAAAACCCGUAUGAUACCGAGUGCGCCUGUUAGAGGCUAAACUGCUUAGAAAGCGUUUUCUGCGAGCCCGGCGGAGACGCGGCUGGGGCUGGAGGCCGUGCUGGGGCAGGCGAGGCUCUGGCUCGCCUACUGUUACAGCCGUCUUUCAGGAAACUAAUUAUACCAAAACCGGGAUGGAAUUAACAACAAACGUCUGCUCUCUUUGACAGAAUGAGGGACAAGACUCAGUUCUAAACUUCCCAUUAAAGGUGGUGUUUCAACAAGCCUCAAGAAAUUCUUAAUUCUUUAAACCAUCACCAAGUAUGGCAACACAACUUUUAUUUAACUAAGGGACUACUUUCAUAUCAUAUACAUUCAAAUCCAAGGGUACUUUUAUGUGCUGUAUAAAUACAAGAGUUGGGCUGAAAGUAAAUGCUGAAAUUAGGAUUAUGCCAGUUACAUGCACCCAAAAAACACUACACUGGGUAUCAGAUCUUUUUCUAACUGAUUUGCCUUUCCACUGGCAACAAAGACCCAGCCUCUAAAAGCACUUUUUUAGCAUCUUUUAAAGUUAGGAGAAGCUUACAAAAAACCCCAACUGUUUUGCCAGCUCACAGAAAGUAUCAAGAUAGCUCUUGGGUGGGAUAAUGAAGCACUUUCUUACUUCACCAUUGUCCUUUGUCAUCCAUUUGACAAUGGCUUUGUAUUUAUCAUCAAAUUAUUUCUGUAUAAGCCAUCUUUUACUAAGUAAAGUACAGAAGUUUGGCAUUGCCCUUCAGUCUCAAAUCUCUGCGAGUCCUACUUGGGAAGAUGUGUUUCCAUGUUACUUGUUUGGAAAUGAAUUUAAAAAGUGAAACUGAACAAAUGUACUUAAGUAAACCCAGCCUAAUAAAAUCACUGUGUUCUAGCUGUGGUUAGUGAAGCUGUAACAGUCACCUGCAGCAAACUGGAAAAUCAGGACCUUGGCAGGAACAGCAAGAACACAGUAAGAAUAAUAAAAAGAACAUAAGAAACACAAAAGAACAAAAAAGGGCAGACAGCACACAGUAAGGAAUUGCAGUUAAGACAGGAUGGAACUACAGAGGUGAGUCCUACUGCUCUGUCUAGACCCUAGAAUAGGAUUUUCAGGUUUGGAGUGUGCUUUUUUCCUGUUAAUCUAAGAAAAUUUGAGUACAAGGCUUUUGGUUUAGGGCCCAAAAGCAGGGUGACUGUGCCAGCAAACAGGAGAAAUGCCUUUUACCAGUAGGAUAAACUAAACUCACCAAGAUUUAUUUUGCUUUCUGAUGCCUGUCAUAGCUCUUCUUGCAAGCUGUUUUUUCCUAAUGACCCAGUGAAGAUUACCAAGGCAAAAGGCCAGUAUAUGUAUGAUGAGAAUGGGAGACAGUACCUUGACUGCAUCAACAACGUGGCUCACGUUGGACACUGUCACCCUGAUAUAGUAAAGGCAGCCCAUGAACAGAAUCAAUUGUUAAAUACAAAUUCUCGUUACCUUCAUGACAACUUGGUUGAUUAUGCAGAGAGACUUUCAAAAACACUACCUGAGAAAUUAUGCAUCUUCUAUUUUUUAAAUUCUGGAUCUGAAGCCAACGACCUUGCCCUGAGGUUGGCACGGCAGUACACAAAACAUGAGGAUGUUAUCGUUUUAGACCAUGCUUACCAUGGACAUCUGACAUCUUUGAUUGACAUAAGCCCAUAUAAAUUCAGAAAUCUAGAAGGACAAAAGGAAUGGGUCCACGUGGCUCCUGUUCCAGACACAUACAGAGGACUUUAUAGAGAAGACCAUGAAGAUUCAGUAACAGCCUAUGCUGAUGAAGUAAAAAAUAUUAUUGAGCAUGCACAUAAGAGAGGCAGAAAGAUUGCUGCAUUUUUUGUUGAAUCUCUACCAAGUGUUGGUGGUCAAAUCAUUCCCCCAGCAGGAUAUUUUCAGAAGGUUGCAGAGCAUGUGCACGAGGCAGGAGGUGUAUUUAUUGCUGAUGAAAUUCAAGUUGGCUUUGGCAGGGUUGGCCAGCACUUCUGGGCAUUCCAGCUUCAGGGAGAAGAUUUUAUACCUGAUAUUGUCACUAUGGGGAAGCCAAUAGGGAACGGGCACCCACUUGCUUGUGUAGCAACAACAAAAGAAAUUGCGGAAGCGUUUGCGGCCACAGGAGUAGAGUAUUUUAAUACAUUUGGUGGGAACCCUGUUUCAUGUGCCAUUGGAUUAGCUGUGUUAGAUGUAAUUGAGAAGGAACAGCUUCAGGCUCAUGCCACAGAGGUAGGCAACUUCUUGAUGAAGACACUCAAAGAGCAGCAAAUCAAGCAUCCCAUCAUUGGUGAUGUCAGGUAUCUGUGCCUUAUUUACAUUUUUAGCUGCUUUCUCUUUGGUUCAGUCAGUCCAAUAUAUGUUGUUUAGAGAAAUUAAUAAAAUUAUGUGUUUUCAGCAGAAAUAAAGAGCCUCCUGUACAAUUAAGUAAAACAAACCUGAGCUUAUCAGAAGUCUCAUAUACUUUGCCACUCUGGGCCACUACUUUUUAUCAGUUUAUUAGCUGCUAAAACUGUUGAACUGCUACUGUUCAAACUGCUGUUUGAACUCAAAGUUCAAGUGCAUAGGGUACAGAAGUGAUGAGCUAGAUGGAAAACAUGCUUAAUAUCCUGUCCUGCUCUACCAGUGUGAGCAGACAGAAGUCUAUUGCUACAUUUCUUCAGAACAGCAAAACUUUUUUUCUAACAGUAGCCAAACAUCAGGUAAUUCUCAUGCAGUAAUGGUCUAGUCUUCCCUCAUUUUUUUAGUUCACUUGUAGUUCCUUCCUCUGACACUGACUCUGGCAGACUGAGUGGUUUCAUUUCUUUUACAGAGGUUGUGGCUUAUUCAUUGGAGUGGACUUAGUCAAGGAUCAAGCAGAAAGGACUCCAGCCACAGCAGAAGCAGAGGAUCUAGUAACAAGACUUAAGGAAAAAUAUAUUCUACUGAGUACAGAUGGGCCAGGAAGAAAUGUGCUGAAAU